GAUUAGGAUCUCUUUUAGCCUUGAUACCCCCAACCCCAUGAUGCUGUCUCCAAAUAUAGUCAUAUUGGGCACUGGGGCUUCAACAUAUACAUUUGUUGGGGUUGGGUGGAUACAGUUCAGUCUGUAACACAUAUGUCUUUUUCCACCCUUCUGUUUUCAACAUAUUUGUGUUUUGAACUUUGAAGUGCAUCCCUUAUAGAGAGAAUAUUCUUUUUUGGUAAUUAUGUAUUAUAGUUGAUUUAUAAUGUUGCACCAAUUUCUGCUUAUUCCCCACGUCACAAAUGCAAUAGCAGUAUAAUUCUGUGUACUCCUGUCUUGUACUUUGUGCUUUGUUGUCAUAUCUUUUAUUUCUAAAUAAGUUACAAAUCCCACCUUAUAAUAUUAUUAUUUUUGCUUUAACUGAGUUAGUUGUCUUUUAAGGAAAUUAUGAGAAAACAAUAAUCUUUUAUGUUUAAUUUCUUUUUAAAAAACCUUUCUUUGGUACUUUUUUUUUUUCCCAUGCCCAUUGAUCUAAGUUUCCAUCUGAUAUCAAUGUCUUUCAACCUAAAGUACGUCCUUCAGCAUUUCUUAUAGUGUAGAUCUAUAGACAUCAAACACUCUUAGCUUGCAUUUAUCAAAAAUAUCUUUAUUUCAUCCUAGUUUUUGAAGAAUAGUACUGAUGAAUACAAAAUUCUGAAUUGAUAAUUUUUUUCUUACCGUUAAAUGUUCUUCCGUCGUCUUCUUGCCUCCACUCUUUCUGAUAAGUCACAAUAAUCAUUGUUGUUUCCCUAUAUGUAAAGUGUCUUUUUUUCCUGAUUGCAUUUGAGAUUUUUUUUUCUUUUGGUUUUCAUAGUUUGACCCUAACAUAUCUAGGUGUGCUUUUCUUUGUAUUUAUCCUACUUAGUUUUCACUGAGUUUUUUGAAUCUAUAAAUUUAUGCCUUUAGCAAGUAUAGUAAGAUUUCAGGUUUUAUUUUUUCAAGUAUUUUUCUUCCCCAUCUUCAGUCUCUUUUCCUGUGGGACUCCUAUUUACAUGUAUUUUGGCCAUUUGAUAUUGUUUGGAAGAUUCCUGAGAUUUUGUCCUUUUUUUCUUCAAUCUUUUUCUUUUCUUUCCUUUGAAUUAAUUUCUUUUACUUUGUCUUCAAGUUCAUUAUACUUCUGUCUCCAAAAUCUAUCAAUCAAAUCAAGUUUUAAAUUUUUUUAAUUGUACGUUUCAGUUAUAGCUUUAAAAAAUAGUGUCAGUAGUUCUGCUGAGACUUCCUAUUUGUUCACUCAUUAAGAGCAUCUUCCUUUAAUUCUUUGAAAAUAUUUUAAAUUGUUACUUUAAAGUAAUUGCUAAAUCUAACAUCUGAGUUAUCUUGGAAUUGGUUUCUUGACUAUGAGUAUAUUUUUCCAUUCUUUGCAUACAUAUUACUUUUUUGAUUGUGUCCUUGAUAUUGUUGAAGGUGUGCUCUUGAGACCUUGGGUUCUGUUAUCAUCCUCUGAAAGAGUAUGGUUUUUAUCCUAGCACACAGUAAGGAGUUUGAUUCCUGGCUCAUCACCUCGACUUUUUGUAGUCUUUGAUAUGGAGCAUCUCUGGAAAGCCCAUCUUUGUCAAGCAACUUUGACUUAAUGGGGUCAACUCCAAAUCUUUGUCCCUUGUGGAUAUUGUGAGGGCUUCACUUUAGGAUUUUUUUCUUUUUAGGGCCACAUCCGCAGCACGUGGAGGUUCCCAGACUAGGGGCCAAAUCAGAGCCACAUCUGCUGGCCUACGCCACAGCCACAGCAACUUGGGAUCCGAGCCGUGUCUGCGACUUAUACCACAGCUCAUGGUAAUGCCAGAUCGAACCCACAACCUCAUGGUUCCUAGUCAGAUUCUUUUCCUCUGUGCCACAACGGGAACUCCUAGGCUUUUUUAAAUGGUGGGACCAAAGGUGUUUUGUAUAAUGUGACAGCCACAUGUAGCUGUUUAAAUUUAUAUUAAGUAAAAUGAAAAAAAUGAAAGAAUCAUUUCCUUGAUUGCACUACCUAUACUUUGAGUGCUUGAUAACUACAUGGAGGUGGUGGUUAUCAUUUUGGACACAGCAAAUGACAUUAGCAUCAUUGCAGAAAGUUCUAAUGGUCAGUGAUUAUCAAGAGUAUGCAUUACUCUAGGGUGUGGUCCUUACUCUCAGGCUGUCGUUUAUCUUCAUGUCUCAGCCAGAGGCCUGGGUGUGAACAAGAUUUCUCCUCUGUGGCUGGACUGUAUUUCUUCUACCCUCUAGCAGCACCCUGUCACAGCUACUCUCUGGCAAGCCUGUGCACUCUCUCUCUGGCAUAGCCUAGCUUUCAGCUAAGGACUUUGUAUGGCACCCCUACACAGCUUCUGGAGACCCCUGUCUGCAGUUCACUCCUCUCUAGUGCCUUUCCUUAUGAUCCCAGCCAUUUCAGCUGCUCUGAUCUCUGAUUUCUACCUUCUCAGCUCUUUAGAACUGCCAUGUUGUACUCAGAUUUUGGCUCUCUAAUCUACACUGGGGGAAAUAAUUCCUAGACAGAGAGCUGGGGCAAUUGUGGGGUUCACCCUGUGAACUGCUCUCCUUUCAGGCGUCCUGGUCUUGUGCUGCCCAUUGCCCAGUACCAGAAAACCGUUGCCUUCUGUGCUUUUUCCAUUUUAUGUUUGUUUUACUUCACUGAUGGCAGGGGUACUUUAUACCAGUGAUUCCAUCAUACCUUGAGGUAGAACCCUCAUUAAUUAUCAAGCAACUUAAAGUCACAAAUUAUAUACUCCUUUUUUUUUUUUUAAUUGUUUUUGGCUGUACCCAUGGCAUGUGAAAAUUCUUGGGCCAGGGAUUUAACCUGCACCACAGCAGUGACAACGCUGGAUCCUUAACCUGCUGAGGCACUGGGGAACUCCCAUGCUCCUGGUUUUUUUUUUGUUUGUUUGUUUAUUUGUUUGUUUUUCUCUUAAGGCUGCUCCUGCAGCACAUGGAAGUUCCCAGGCUAGGGAUCAAAUAAGAGCUACAGCUGCUGGCCUAUGCCAUAGCCACAACAAUGCUAGAUCUGAGCCACAUCUGUGACCCACACCACAGCUUGCUGCAAUGCUGGAUCCUUAACCCACUGAGCUAGUUCAGGGAUUGAAUCCGCAUCCUCAUGGAUACCAGUUAGGUUCUUAACCUUCUGAGUCACACCGGGAACUCCCCCAUGCUCCUGGUUUUAAAAAGCUCCUUUGCGUUGGGUUUUUCUCAUUGGACAUUGGCUCUCCUUGGUAGCUGGCACCACAUCAUCUUGCAUGUUACUUUUUCUUUUGCUCCUGUUUUUUCCAUUGAGAUCCUCUGGGAAACUCCAAAUUCUUUCCUUCUGCCAUGCAGAGAACUUGGCUUCCCACAGAUCUUGUCCUCAAAACUAUAUAACCAAAGUCAUAGAAAUUCUUAGCAGAAAAAAAAUGUCCUAUUCCCAUUUAAUGGGAUCUGUCCUCUUUAGAAGAUGGUUGGAGUUUAUAGAAAGCAAAACAUUUUUUUCUCCUGUAUGAUAAGGUUGCACAUCCUCAAUGACAUAGAAGUCCUUUGGGAACUGUUCCUUUCUAUGUCUUCAGCUUCAUCUCCUGUUACUCUGCAUCCAUCCCUAGCCUGCACACACACACACACACACACACACACACACGCACGCACACACACCUCCUACAAAACCACAGUCUUUGUGGGUCUCAAAACACACCAAGAUGUUUCUUUCCUGUAUUCCUUUUCUCAUAUUGUUUCCUCUGUCUGGGAUGCCCUCCCCCCAUCCCCCAACUUUCCCAUCUUUUUUUUUUUUUUUUGUCUUUUUAGGGCUAUACCUGUGGCAUAUGGAGGUUCCCAGCCUAGGAGUCACAUGGGAGCUGUAGCUGUUGGCAGGUGCCCCAACCACAGCAAUACCAGUUCUGAGCCAUGUCUGUGACCUACUCCACAGCUCAUGGCAAUGCCAGAUCCUUAACUCACUGAGAGAGGCCAGGAAUUGAACCUGCGUCCUCAUGGAUGCUAGUCAGAUUCAUUUCCACUGAGCCAUGAUGGGAACUCCUUUCCCUUCUUUAUCUUUCCUCCCACUCAUUCUUUAAGACCAGGUUGAGAAAUACUUUCCUUCUGAAAGGAUUCCCUGGCUCUGACCUUCCAUAGCUGGAUCAGGGAGUUCCUCACGGCUCCUACUCAGCUCUGUUCUGUCCUCCUCCCCACGCAGACUAGGAAAAGAGACCUCUGUCCACGUGGUCUCACCAGUACUUAGCCUGGGAUGGGCAUAUAGUAUGUGUUAUUUUCAUUUAUCUACCCAACAGAUGUUUAUUGAGUACCCGGUGUGUGUGCAGGGUGCUGUCCCCACAUCUCUGCCUUUUGGGAGCUGGUAUUCGGGGGGUGGGGGGGAGUCAGAAAACAAAACUGGAUACCCACUGUAGUUCAGGAAGCGAUGAAUCUGUGAAGGAAAGGAAAGCCAUGUAAGGGCACAGCAGGCCCUGGGGCUGCUUUUGUGGAUGGAGCACCUCUCUUAGAGGUGACAUUGGAGCAGGGACCUGAGUGAAGUGAGGAAAGGAGUCGAGUCGAGGGGAGAGAGUGGAGAAGUCUAUGUGGGAGCCUCUAAGGGUGCUUGGCAAGUGGCAUGCAGACCAGUGAGGCUGGGGCCAUGGGGAGAAGCACUGAGAUGGGAGGCCCCCCCAUCCCGGGGCCUUUUGGGCCACUGCAGGAAACUUUAGAUGUUUUCCCUUGAAGUCGAGGGAAGCCGUCGGGAGGUUGUGAACAGCAGAGUGACAUGACCAGACUGGUGUUUUAAGGGCUCAUGCUGGUUGCUCUGUUGAGAACAGUCUGCAGAGGAACAAGGGAAGAAACUGGAAGGCACUUAGGAGGUGAUUGCAGGGGUCAAGGCCAGAGAAAUGAAUUGCGUUAACAUUGGCUUUGUGGAAUAAUGGUUACGUUUCUUUAUCUCUAGCUCCCGUGGAGCCUUUCCUAAGCUUUUGUUAGGCAGGUCCCCUGUCGGAUUUAUCUUUCUAUUCUGAGUGCUUAGAGCAAGGCCUGCUAAAUUCUAGGAGUACAAUGUUAUUUAAAAAUAUUUUUCAGAGUUCCUGGUGUGGCUUAGCAGUAACGAACCUGAGUAGCGUCCAUGAGGUUGCGGUUUUGAUCCCUGGCCUCUCUCAGUGGGUUAAGGAUCCAGCAUUGCCAUAGCUAUGGUGUGGGUCUCAGACGAGGCUUGGAUCCUCUGUUGCUGUGGUAUAGGCUGGCGGCUGCAGCUCCGAUUUGACCCCUAGCCUGGGAACUUCCAUAGGGCGUUGGAUGCACCCCCCCCCAAAAAAAAAGACCAAAAAAAAAUACUUUCCUUGUUUGUUUUUUUUUUUUUUUAUUUUAAAUCAGUGAGUUUCUGAGCAUGACACAAAUGGAGAGAAGGAUGCUAUAUGACAUUUCAUCGUUACCCCCAUUUUCAGACGGGGAAGCCGAGGUUCAGAGAGGUAAUCUCAGUCAAGUCUCACAAAUCACAAAGUGAUGAGGCCAGUCUUUAAUCUCAAGUCUGUUUGAGCCCAUAGCCCUUAGCUUUUCUGUUCUGUCAGCUAGGCUGGUAUAGAGGAGGUGUUGGGGAGUCACUGGGGGGAAAGGCUGGACGUGUGGGUCCUGGCCUGAGCAACAAACCCCGUCUGUGAUGACAGACAGAGCCUCCUUCAA
RNAcentral lists this long non-coding RNA (5607 nucleotides) under Sus scrofa (pig). RNAcentral describes it as "lncRNA (ENSSSCG00060075993.1)". Lineage: Eukaryota; Metazoa; Chordata; Mammalia; Artiodactyla; Suidae. The record is from RNAcentral.